Molecule: ribosomal RNA, 443 nt
Filed under: uncultured bacterium
Lineage: Bacteria
Description: partial 16S ribosomal RNA
Rfam family: Bacterial small subunit ribosomal RNA
Source: RNAcentral
CCUACGGGAGGCAGCAGUAGGGAAUUUUCGGCAAUGGGGGGAACCCUGACCGAGCAACGCCGCGUGAACGAAGAAGUUCUUCGUAAUGUAAAGUUCUUUUAACAGGGAAGAAAGAGACAUUUGACGGUACCUGCCGAAUAAGCUCCGGCUAACUACGUGCCAGCAGCCGCGGUAAUACGUAGGGAGCGAGCGUUAUCCGGAAUUAUUGGGCGUAAAGGGUGCGUAGAUGGCAUAGUAAGUAGCGUAACUCCAAGGCUCAACCUUGGAACUACUACUAAAACUGUUGGACUUGAGUGCAGGAGGGGCAACCGGAAUUCCUAGUGUAGCGGUGGAAUGCGUAGAUAUUAGGAGGAACACCAGUGGCGAAGGCGGGUUGCUAGACUGUAACUGACACUGAGGCACGAAAGCGUGGGGAGCAAACAGGAUUAGAUACCCCUGUAGUC